GACGAACGCUGGCGGCGUGCUUAACACAUGCAAGUCGAACGGAAAGGCCCUGCUUUUGUGGGGUGCUCGAGUGGCGAACGGGUGAGUAACACGUGAGUAACCUGCCCUUGACUUUGGGAUAACUUCAGGAAACUGGGGCUAAUACCGGAUAGGAGCUCCUGCUGCAUGGUGGGGGUUGGAAAGUUUCGGCGGUUGGGGAUGGACUCGCGGGUUAUCAGCUUGUUGGUGGGGUAGUGGCUUACCAAGGCUUUGACGGGUAGCCGGCCUGAGAGGGUGACCGGCCACCUUGGGACUGCGAGACGGACCAGACUCCUACGGGAGGCAGCAGUGGGGAAUAUUGCGCAAUGGGCGGAAGCCUGAUGCAGCAACGCCGCGUGCGGGAUGACGGCUUUCGGGUUAUAAACAGCUUUCGCCUGUGACGAAGCGUGAGUGACGGUAAUGGGUAAAGAAGCACCGGCUAACUACGUG
This 468-nucleotide ribosomal RNA is filed under the name uncultured bacterium. Its description in RNAcentral is "partial 16S ribosomal RNA". It matches the Rfam family "Bacterial small subunit ribosomal RNA", at positions 28 to 507 of the family's 1533-position model. The record is from RNAcentral.